This 72-nucleotide transfer RNA is filed under the name Deltaproteobacteria bacterium. RNAcentral's name for it is "tRNA-Ala". It matches the Rfam family "tRNA". From Rfam's summary of the family: Transfer RNA (tRNA) molecules are approximately 80 nucleotides in length. Their secondary structure includes four short double-helical elements and three loops (D, anti-codon, and T loops). The record is from RNAcentral. Lineage: Bacteria; Pseudomonadati; Myxococcota; Myxococcia.
GGCGUGUAGCUCAGCUGGGAGAGCACCUCCAUGGCAUGGAGGGGGUCGCAGGUUCAAUCCCUGUCACGUCCA